Molecule: long non-coding RNA, 875 nt
Organism: Toxorhynchites rutilus septentrionalis
Lineage: Eukaryota; Metazoa; Arthropoda; Insecta; Diptera; Culicidae
Exons: 3
Source: RefSeq, a predicted model, not a curated record
CUUACGUGAUUAUAUAACUGGCGCAGUCGGUAGGAUCUCGUUGGUUGUUGGCAAAAUUGGUUCGUUGUGUUCAAGAUAAAGGCAGGCCAGAAGCUCCUUGAAUUGUAUCGAGCAACAGAAUCAACCAGAAAACUUGCACAUGACUCAGCAGCCGAAUGAAUCGGACUUGACUUUCACCAGGAGAGUUCAACUAGCGGCUAGACAGUGCGAAUAUCCGGAAAGAAAGCAGUUUGAGAGCGCUCAGAAUGAUAAGUCGGAACGGAUCGCUAGCAGAUUUAAUCGACAAGGUUCGGGAAAUCGAAACGAUACGCCUGAACGAAGAAUACGUUUCUAGAAUGAAAGCAGUGGUGGUAUCAACUUUAGUUUCGGUGAAUGCAGGCAGGUGUUAUGAUGCAAAUUGUACGAUUUCUGGAUUUGGGGGUGAACGUGGUCGACGCCCUAUAAGAGGAGGAAUAGUCUGGCGUGGUUCAAACUCACAACUUCCGGAACGCUGUACUCGAUGCAAGAGCAUCUAUCAUUCAGCGGAAAAGUUUUCCGCAGUCAGCAUAAUAUGUCACAAUUGCGGUUGUGUAUGUCAUUUGCUUCGAGCUUGCAAUUUAACACUAACAACUAGAAAUAAAUUUCGCGUUGGGCUUGAGAGAUGCGAUUCUUGGAAAUAGAAUCAGUAGGAGCCAAACCGGAAGCGAAACUUGAAGAAGCGAUCCCGGAGACAAUCUCACUCAGUUUUAAGGAAAAGGGGAACAGUGAAGAAGCCCGUGUGAUGCAACGAUUUUAUUCACAGAAUAUAUCAGAAAUUUAAAGUUAAACAACCAUCGUGUGAUGGAGAAUCCUAUACAAGAAAUACAUGAACAGAAACAAUUUUCUAUUCCAACGAG